ACACCCGUGGUGGAAUGACUCGUGCCUGCCUGAAACACAGGAGAGUGAGAAUGGCAGCAGGGUAGGGGAUUGUUACAGCUGAAGUAAUCCUUACUUGCAAAUUUCUUCUGCCUUUUGAUCUGUCAGCAAGUCCCUCUUCACAGCAGAUGCAAUUUCCAAUACGUUCGCAGCAACAGAGAUCUCUGCGGAAGUUGAAAAUGAGCAGUACUGACAGUCUAAUGUGUGAAGUUGAAGAGAGAUGUCUU
This 245-nucleotide long non-coding RNA is filed under the name Gallus gallus (chicken). RNAcentral describes it as "long non-coding RNA NONGGAT007151". Lineage: Eukaryota; Metazoa; Chordata; Aves; Galliformes; Phasianidae. The record is from RNAcentral.